RNAcentral lists this ribosomal RNA (387 nucleotides) under uncultured bacterium. RNAcentral describes it as "bacterial SSU rRNA". It matches the Rfam family "Bacterial small subunit ribosomal RNA", at positions 28 to 417 of the family's 1533-position model. The record is from RNAcentral.
GACGAACGCUGGCGGCGUGCUUAACACAUGCAAGUCGAGCGGUAAGGCCCUUUCGGGGGUACACGAGCGGCGAACGGGUGAGUAACACGUGGGUGACCUGCCCUCAGCUCUGGGAUAAGCCUGGGAAACUGGGUCUAAUACUGGAUAUGACUCCACGGUGCAUGUCGUGGGGUGGAAAGCCUUGUGCGGCUGAGGAUGGGCCCGCGGCCUAUCAGCUUGUUGGUGGGGNGAUGGCCUACCAAGGCGACGACGGGUAGCCGGCCUGAGAGGGCGACCGGCCACACUGGGACUGAGACACGGCCCAGACUCCUACGGGAGGCAGCAGUGGGGAAUCUUGCGCAUGGGCGAAAGCCUGACGCAGCGACGCCGCGUGAGGGAUGACGGCCU